AUGUGCAAGUACCAUGUCGAAGAGCACAUCCUCGAGGAGGCCGAUCCGCUGCACGAGGACGCCGUGUGGCGGAACGACGACAUCACGCUGGUGCUACGGAUCUAUGCCACGAUCUCCGACAAGUUGUACGACGUGAUCCAGUCGCCCGAGUCCACGGCGUACCACCUCCGGCAGCAGCUAGAGACCUUCUUCCGCGACAACGCCGCCGGCCGCGCGGUGCACAUCGGCGCCGAGUUCCGCGCCACCAUCCAAGGCGACAUGACCGUCGCCCAGUACUGCCGCUGCCUCCAGAAACUCGCAUUUGCGCUGGCCGACGUCGCGAACCGGUCACCGACCGCUCUCUCACGCUACAGCUGGUGCAUGGGCUGA
RNAcentral lists this ribosomal RNA (369 nucleotides) under Triticum aestivum (bread wheat). Its description in RNAcentral is "partial small subunit ribosomal RNA". Lineage: Eukaryota; Viridiplantae; Streptophyta; Magnoliopsida; Poales; Poaceae. The record is from RNAcentral.